Molecule: ribosomal RNA, 312 nt
Filed under: Triticum aestivum (bread wheat)
Lineage: Eukaryota; Viridiplantae; Streptophyta; Magnoliopsida; Poales; Poaceae
Description: partial small subunit ribosomal RNA
Source: RNAcentral
AUGUCGGGGCGCGGCAAGGGAGGCAAGGGGCUCGGCAAGGGCGGCGCCAAGCGCCAUCGGAAGGUGCUCCGGGACAACAUCCAGGGCAUCACCAAGCCGGCGAUUCGACGUCUGGCACGUCGGGGCGGCGUGAAGCGCAUCUCGGGGCUCAUCUACGAGGAGACCCGCGGCGUGCUCAAGAUCUUCCUCGAGAACGUCAUCCGCGACGCCGUCACCUACACCGAGCACGCCCGCCGCAAGACUGUCACUGCCAUGGACGUCGUCUACGCACUCAAGCGCCAGGGACGCACCCUCUAUGGAUUCGGAGGCUAG